RNAcentral lists this ribosomal RNA (465 nucleotides) under uncultured bacterium. RNAcentral describes it as "partial 16S ribosomal RNA". It matches the Rfam family "Bacterial small subunit ribosomal RNA", at positions 28 to 507 of the family's 1533-position model. The record is from RNAcentral.
GACGAACGCUGGCGGCGUGCUUAACACAUGCAAGUCGAACGGAAAGGCCCCUUUGUUGGUACUCGAGUGGCGAACGGGUGAGUAACACGUGAGUAACCUGCCCUUGACUUCGGGAUAACUUCAGGAAACUGGGGCUAAUACCGGAUAGGAAUCAUUGCUGCAUGGUGGGGGUUGGAAAGCUUCGGCGGUUUUGGAUGGACUCGCGGCUUAUCAGCUUGUUGGUGGGGUAGUGGCUUACCAAGGCUUUGUCGGGUAGCCGGCCUGAGAGGGCGACCGGCCAACUUGGGACUGAGAUACGGCCCAGACUGCUACGGGGGGCAGCAGUGGGGAAUAUUGCACAAUGGGCGGAAGCCUGAUGCAGCAACGCCGCGUGCGGGAUGACGGCCUUCGGGUUGUAAACCGCUUUCAGCAGGGGCGAAGCUUGUGGUGACGGUACCUGCAGAAGAAGCACCGGCUAACUACGUG